UAACCCCCAACUAUUAAAUGAAGAGUUCCUUUCUCCUAUAAAUAAUACGCCACACCAGUAUGGCCAUCACAUCGAACGGAAAAAAAAAAAAAGAAAGAAAAAGAAAAAAAAAACACUCCUCUAUAUUAUCUAAAGCAUAGGAGUAAGAAUGAAGAAGUUUAUGGUAAUGGCGUUGGUAGUGGGUGUGAUGGUUGUGGGGUGCUUUGGUCGACUACAAUCGGAUAUUCAUCUGACUUUGGUACCUGGUAAUGAGCGGUGUAGGGUACCUGGUGAAUAUUGUCAUUGGGCACAAAGCAAGUAUUGUUGUGAAGGACUGUAUUGUGAAGGUGAGUGGGGAUGGGGUGAGAAUCGGAGAUGUGUCGAUGAUCCAUACUGUCUACAAGCUGGUUCUCCUUGCGCUCUUUUGUCAAGUCCCUGCUGCUACCCGAUGCAUUGCAACUCUAGGGAGCGGGGGGGACGUUGUGUUACCCCUGGUUUGGCGCUAGAUGUUCAACAAAACGCCUCAUAAGAUAUAAUUAAUAAAAAAAAGUGCCAUUAGUGCUAAGUCUCACGAAGCAUACUAGCUUGGUGUGGUGUGGUUUGUUUUAGUAAUAAUAGAAAGUGUCCUUGGCGCUGAGUCUCACAAAGCAUGUAGUAGCUUGGUGUGGUGUGGUUUGGUUUGUUUUAGUAAUAAUGAAAAGUGCCCAUUUGUUGUUGCGUA
Cannabis sativa is the source of this 700-nucleotide long non-coding RNA. RefSeq lists it as uncharacterized. NCBI's taxonomy places the organism in Eukaryota, Viridiplantae, Streptophyta, Magnoliopsida, Rosales, Cannabaceae. The transcript has 2 exons. The record is from RefSeq and is a predicted model, not a curated record.